AACGAACGCUGGCGGCGUGCUUAACACAUGCAAGUCGAACGCGAAAGUUUUCUUCGGAAAGCGAGUAGAGUGGCGCACGGGUGAGUAACGCGUAAACAAUCUACCCCUGCAUUUGGGAUAACCCACCGAAAGGUGAGCUAAUACCGGAUACGUUCUUUUGGUCGCGAGACCUUGAGAAGAAAGGUGGCCUCUGAUAUAAGCUACUGUGCAGGGAGGAGUUUGCGUACCAUUAGCUAGUUGGCAGGGUAAUGGCCUACCAAGGCAACGAUGGUUAGCGGGUCUGAGAGGAUGAUCCGCCACACUGGAACUGGAACACGGACCAGACUCCUACGGGAGGCAGCAGUGAGGAAUAUUGCGCAAUGGGGGAAACCCUGACGCAGCGACGCCGCGUGGAUGAUGAAGGCCUUCGGGUCGUAAAAUCCUGUCAGAUGGAAAGAAGUGUAUUAUGCUUAACACGUGUAAUAUU
This 466-nucleotide ribosomal RNA is filed under the name uncultured Desulfobulbaceae bacterium. RNAcentral describes it as "bacterial SSU rRNA". It matches the Rfam family "Bacterial small subunit ribosomal RNA", at positions 29 to 476 of the family's 1533-position model. Lineage: Bacteria; Pseudomonadati; Thermodesulfobacteriota; Desulfobulbia; Desulfobulbales; Desulfobulbaceae. The record is from RNAcentral.